Molecule: small nucleolar RNA, 127 nt
Filed under: Castor canadensis (American beaver)
Lineage: Eukaryota; Metazoa; Chordata; Mammalia; Rodentia; Castoridae
Description: Small nucleolar RNA U109 (ENSCCNG00000012157.1)
Rfam family: Small nucleolar RNA U109
Source: Rfam by way of RNAcentral
UUGCAUGAGGAAAUGCCUUCCUUUAGGAGCAGAGCUACAUCCACAAAAUGCUACAUUUAAAAAGGGAGUUCUCAGGGCUGCCAACCUUACAACAGAGGUUGAAUGGUAGUAUAGUUCUCCUACAAAA